GAUGAACGCUGGCGGCGUGCUUAACACAUGCAAGUCGAACGGAAAGGCCGAAGCUUGCUUCGGUACUCGAGUGGCGAACGGGUGAGUAACACGUGGGUGAUCUGCCCUGUACUUCGGGAUAAGCUUGGGAAACUGGGUCUAAUACCGGAUAUGACGAUCUCUUGGAUGGGGUUGUGGAAAGCUUUUGCGGUAUGGGAUGAGCUUGCGGCCUAUCAGCUUGUUGGUGGGGUAAUGGCCUACCAAGGCGUCGACGGGUAGCCGGCCUGAGAGGGUGUACGGCCACAUUGGGACUGAGAGACGGCCCAGACUCCUACAGGAGGCAGCAGUGGGGAAUAUUGCACAAUGGGAGCAAGCCUGAUGCAGAGACGCCGCGUGGGGGAUGACGGCCUUCGGGUUGUAAACAACUUUCGCAAUCGACGAAGCCUUUUGGUGACGGUAGGUUAAGAAGAAGCACCGGCUAACUACGUG
RNAcentral lists this ribosomal RNA (468 nucleotides) under uncultured bacterium. Its description in RNAcentral is "partial 16S ribosomal RNA". It matches the Rfam family "Bacterial small subunit ribosomal RNA", at positions 28 to 507 of the family's 1533-position model. The record is from RNAcentral.